RNAcentral lists this ribosomal RNA (484 nucleotides) under uncultured bacterium. Its description in RNAcentral is "bacterial SSU rRNA". It matches the Rfam family "Bacterial small subunit ribosomal RNA", at positions 28 to 507 of the family's 1533-position model. The record is from RNAcentral.
GAUGAACGCUAGCGGCGGGCCUAAUACAUGCAAGUCGAGGGGCAUCGCGGGUAGCAAUACUUGGCGGCGACCGGCGCACGGGUGCGUAACGCGUAUGCAACCUGCCCUUAACACGGGGAUAGCCCUCCGAAAGGAGGAUUAAUACCCGAUGGUAUGUAGGAAUGACAUCGUUUUUACAUUAAAGAUUUAUCGGUUAAGGAUGGGCAUGCGUCUGAUUAGCUAGUUGGGGGGGUAACGGCCCACCAAGGCGACGAUCAGUAGGGGUUCUGAGAGGAUGAUCCCCCACACCGGUACUGAGACACGGACCGGACUCCUACGGGAGGCAGCAGUAAGGAAUAUUGGUCAAUGGGCGGAAGCCUGAACCAGCCACGCCGCGUGCAGGAAGAAGGCCCUACGGGUUGUAAACUGCUUUUAUACGGGAAGAACCGCCCUCCUGCGGGGGGGUAUGACGGUACCGUAGGAAUAAGCAUCGGCUAACUCCGUG